AUGGAUGAGGAUAACGGGUCAAGAUAAGGCAAGGUGACAAAUACACUUAUUGGAGUACUCAAGGUAAGUGAUUUCUAUAAUCACUUCUUUAGUUGUUUAAGUAAUAUAAUGUUUUAAUUAUUAAGUUCAUAUGAAGUUGAGGUCAAAUCAAUAGAUUAUUUUGAUAAAUGCACGAAUGGGUCGAAUAAUUCAUAGAUGAAUAACAAGCCGAAUACGUUUAAGUUAAGAAAUUCCUUAACUCGGAUGUUGGACUUCAAGAUCACAUGAUAGAAUAUUAAAUUACAAUCAUAUAGGAAGAAACGUGACGCAAAACGGAUGAAAAAUGAGAGAGUUAUGUCCGUUACGGUAAGGAUUAAUGGCUAGGAAAAGUGCAGAGUUGACACGGCCGGGUGGUGAACUGACACGGCCGGGUGAAGGUUCUGUCAAAAAUAUUAUUUAUGUGAUUUAUGCGCCGUAGGCUUCGGUAUAUUAUCCGUGAACUACGACGGGCCUCCCAAACAUGAUUUCGAGUGUUUCCUUGACGAUUAUAAGUUGUAAACCCAAGUCUAAGCCUCAUGUAAUUUAUAUAAGAGUGUGAUAGAUGUAUGUAAUGAAGUUGGACAUGUAUUACAUGUAAAUGUAUACAAAAAUACGUACGGAACACGUAGAUAUGAAUACAUGAUUGUAGGUAUGAUUAAAUGUAUAUUAGGUAUGUAGAUGUGUAUGAUUGUAAGUUUGUAUGUGUGCAAGUAUGUGCGAAUGCAUGAUUUGGAUGCAUUUGAGAAUUAGCGUUACUAAUAAUGCCCUUGGGUUUGGAAUAUAAGUUAAAUGGAUGCAUUUAAAUGGUUGACGUCCUUUUUAUGAAGAUGUAGUAAAUGAAUAUGUUGAGAUUACGGGUUUGGCUAACCAAGUUAUUAUUGAGUAUGUUUGAAAGUGCAGGUUAUGAAUGUCGGACUUUCGAAGUGUUGAUAUAAUAAUGAAACGGUUGAAUGUUGAAAGGAUAAUCGGAUUGAAGUAACUUAUGCGGUUAGAAUAUGCUAUGGACGUUUUAGUUUAUACAACAUUUUAUGUUUGGUCGUCAUCAUCUACCAACGGGUAAAUCCUCAAUUCAGGCGACUUGGAGAAUCGGAGCGAGCGCGUGUUCAUGUUAUGUCAUACCAAACGCUUCCGCUAGCUUGUUCAAAUGUUUUUAGUCCAAAAUUUGUUGUUUUGGUUCUUAGUAGUAUUUUGUCGAAUGAAUCGUAGAAUUGUAUCUAGUUUGUUUAUGUUUAAAACAGGGGUAUGCUCGUUUUAUGGACGGGUCAUGCCCAAUUUUUGUUAAAUUAAUGCACCUGCG
RNAcentral lists this long non-coding RNA (1315 nucleotides) under Helianthus annuus (common sunflower). The record is from RNAcentral. Lineage: Eukaryota; Viridiplantae; Streptophyta; Magnoliopsida; Asterales; Asteraceae.